GCCUCGCUAAACGAUGCACACCUGUAACUCACGUGACCCUGAUUAUUAUUGAAACGAGAACGAGGGCGUCGUGCCUUUAUAAGACUGCGUUAAUGGCGUUAAUGUUUCCGUGGAGUUAUCCCUUCCGUUGUUGUUUAUUGAUUGUUAAACAUGGCUUCAUUUGCAAAGGUGGUUGUGUGUGUCCUCAUUGCCUUUGUCUGUAAUGCAUUCUGUUUUACGAAGAGAGAUGUGAACUUUAAGGCCUCUGCAGUUGACCGCCAAAGUGAUGAUGUGGUUGUCACCACAACACCCAAUCCCCACAACCAGACCACAUCUGCCCAUACUGAAGCUGGUGGUGAGCCAGUGAAGAUGCUGAGGACCGCCAAAGUGAUGAUAUGGUUGUCACCACAACACCCAAUCCCCACAACCAGACCACAUCUGCCCAUACUGAAGCUGGUGGUGCAAGUGAAGAUGCUGUGGCUACUACCCCAGCACCUAAUCCACACAACCAGACAACUUCUGCACAAACUGAAGUUACUGAUGGAGCCAGUGAAGAUGCUGAGGACCGCCAAAGUGAUGAUGUGGUUGUCACCACAACACCCAAUCCCCACAACCAGACCACAUCUGCCCCUACUGAAGCUGGUGAUGGAGCAAGUGAAGAUGCUGUGGCUACCACCCCAACACCAAAUCCCCCAACUACAUCUGACCACACUGCAGCUACCGAUGAUGCAAGUGAGGGUGCUGUGGCUGCCCAAACUGGAACUACUGUAUCCCAUACGACUGAAGUCUGAUUCGACUGCUCCUCUGGACACAAUGACCUGAGUCACUGUCUGGACUUUUUGCCUCUACAUGUUGACUGCAAUAAAGGACAGAUUUGUUGUUUUUAAUCAAAUGUUGUCUUGCCUUUUUCAAAUUGAGGCCUUGUCCUGUUUUGGUGGUGGAGAUGACUAUGAAGCCUCUUUCCUAACGUAUUUCCUGUAGUGGUUUUACUAUAUGCUUCAUGCAACAAGGCCUUCAACGACUCUACAAAUUGUGUCUGAAUUUGUAGAAUGGUUGAACUGGUAGUGAUGCACUAUAAUGGUGAACUGCUUGUGGCAUUUCAAAAAUCUCUACUGUACUGUUUGACAUGUACAUCUCAAGUGAAUUUGCGUGGUAAUUGGUAAACCGAUGUCCGUCCCUACUAAGGGAGUACUGGCCUUAGUAGGCUAACCCCCUGAAAGGCAUUCAAACAAUAACAGCCUAGUUGCGGCUGAGGGAACCUUGCCAUUGUGUUAACUGGUGUCUCUUGGCAAUACAGUUUACAAUGUUGUGCUGUGAAAGCUUUUCAUGCGUUUCAUGGGGUAUUUAGUCCCAGAGCAGCAGGGACCAAGUGCAUAGCCAGGAUGGGUAGUGGGACUCUCUCGUUCACAGGACCAUAUACAAUCAAAAUAGAAAUAUCAAAACUUGUCAAUCAAUGUAACGGCUAUAUAAAUGACAUACAGUGUAUGUACUUAACUUUUUAACACAG
Molecule: long non-coding RNA, 1486 nt
Organism: Clupea harengus (Atlantic herring)
Lineage: Eukaryota; Metazoa; Chordata; Actinopteri; Clupeiformes; Clupeidae
Source: Ensembl